CAUAUACUCACUUCGUUUCAAAUUACUUGUCACAGAAAUGAAUGUAUCUAGAACUAAAAUACAUCUAGAUACAUUCAUACAUGCGAUAAGUAAUUCGGAACGGAGGGAGUAAAAG
Triticum urartu is the source of this 115-nucleotide non-coding RNA. The record is from Rfam. NCBI's taxonomy places the organism in Eukaryota, Viridiplantae, Streptophyta, Magnoliopsida, Poales, Poaceae.